CACGGGCUUUUAAAAAUCAGCACGGGAAAUAUAUUUUGUUAGUUUCAUGUGGUUGCCAGAGCCCACUCUGGAUGCAUGAUUUACUAGGGCACGUGGCACAUGUUUUGAAAAAUCACCCUCCUUUGGGAAUUGGACUCCUUAAGAUAUUUGUUCAGAGAUGUUCAAGCUGUCAGUUACAAGAUGCUCGAGCCAGAAACGGGCAAGUCUGGGCAAAAUCCAUUAGUCGUGACCAAGGGUUCCGGAGUCCUGAAGACGAACAUGCAUAAUAAACAUACUUUGGUGGGACCAUUCAUUCUCAACACUCCAAAGGCUGGUAAUGAUUGCUGUGGAAAAAUACUACCUUCCCAAAAGUACUUAUGGAUUUAAAGAUCAUCCUGAAGACAGAGCAACAGAAACGUGUGGGCUAAAAUAUAAAGAGGAAUGGCCCCCAGGCUCCAAGAGCAAAAUAUCAGUAACCUCAUAUUCAUCAUCUCUUAUACCAUCUUUUCUAAUACCCACAGCAAGCUUGUGAAUUUGGUAAGUUAUUCUUAACCUCAUUUGACAGAUAAAGAAAUUAAAACUAAAAGAAGUUUGCUUAUGAAGAUGACACAGGAUUAAACGAAAGAAUCAGGACUUUAAUAGAGAUCUCUGACUUUCAGAGUGACGCACCAACCACUUUGCAUAUUGCCCAAGAGGAAGGUAAAAUCAUUGGCAAGUUAAUGUAUACAUCUUUAAUGGUGUUAAUAAUUGUAAUUGUGCUACAUAAUAAUAAUGGCAUAAGAGACGAGCAGUGCACAUAAGUGGCUGAAAUUAACAUGACUUUUAAACAUAGCCAUACUUAGUAUUUUUGGCACCUAUGAGGGAGGGAAGAAAGUUUCUGAGUUUGCCACUCAUUGUCUGAAUUUGGGAAACUGAAGGUGACAAAAUUUCCUUUUUCCACCUUCCUAUCAAAGCUUGUUGAUGACAAAGUCUGUGCAUUGCAAUAUGAAAUGAAGUGUGGGCCCAAAUGAAAUCCCCUGUUUUGGAGGGUAAAUUAAUUCAAUCAGAGAGCAUUGCCUGCACCCAUCGCUCAGAUAAUAGAUAGGGAUCUUUCCUUUUAGUAUUUCAGCAGUGUUUUUUUCUUAAUCCUUAAAGAGAGAGGGGAUGCCCAGAGUCUGUGGAGAACAGGUCAAGCGGAGUUGUUACUAAGCGAGGUCAGAAACAGGUUUGUUUUGAUAACCUUCUACCUCCCUGGUCUCCCUUGUCUAGACCCCUCAGCGAGAACUAGAGCCCUCUUCUGGUUCUAGGCACUGCCCUGAAGCAUCCCAAGGUUCUUCUAAAUGAUUCUCAAAUUAUUUUGACCUCAGGGAAAACUCUUAAUCCCUCAGUGUAGACAAGGAUUCAGCAAAUCGUUUUGCUAAAGGGCUAGAUAGUAAAUAUUUUCACCUCCACAGGGCCAAAUGUUCUCUCACAACUACUCGAUAUGCAAAUCGUAGUGUGAAAGCGGCCACAGACAAUAUGUAAACAAAUGAGAAGGGCCAUGUGUCAGUAAAACUUUAUUGACAAAAGCAGACAGCAGGCUGGAUUUGACCCAAACGCCAUAGUUUGAUAACCCCUGAUGUAGACCAUGUCCUUCAUUACACUGUGUUCUAGUGUCAAAGUAACACAGAGGAGAAAGGUAAUACUGACAGCGGGUCCUCCUUUCAUCAGUAUUAGCACCUACACAAUUCCAGGGCCUGUGCCCCGUGUGAACAUUUAGUGGCGAUUAACUCAGACGUGUAUUCUGGACUCGUGCUGCUUCUCCCCCUUCUCCCAGGAGAAGAGCAGGACUAUCUUGACACAGGAUGGCAAUAUUUCAAAUUAGUAAUUCACUUCUUUUGCAACAAUAUAUGCGCUCUGCCAAUAAAGCCCUUGGGAAACUUGCAAACUACACAAAGUUUGCAUAUCCACAUUCCCUUCUCAACCUUAUCUUGUGCUUUAUCUCUCACCCCCGAGACAGUCAGUGCCCUUGCUCUAUUGCCGAGAGUCUGCCCUCUCCUCCAUAUUCCACACUCUUCCUCCUCCAUAUUCUACCCCCACACGAAAUCUUCUUGACCUAUUCAACACCAACACAAUGUCCUUAGAGUCUUGAACUUGACAAAUUAAAUUUAUUAGCACCGUGGUAUAAAUGAUGCAGAUUUUCUUGUUUAAAAAGCAAGCUUGUGAACCCAACUUAUGCUGCAGCUGGUGAUAAAGUACGUAUGAUCAAGUGUGCAUCUCCACACCCUGCCUAAGCCGUCAGGGAUCAAGUCCUUCUUUUCCAGGCUUAAUAGAAAUUAAGCUGAAUCCCGUAGAAGGAGAACCUCCAGUAGCGUUUUCAGUUUUCUGGAAGAAGAGAGAAAAGAGAACAGAGGUACUUAUUACAGGAGGUACAGGCAGUUCAAGGCCUACCUUGCUGUGCCAGCUCAAACAGACGGUAUGUGACAGAUUAAUUUAGACCAGCACACACCUUACUGGGAAGUAAGUGCUAAUAGAAGAAAGCAGAAUUAAAUAUUUAAAUAUGGCAAAAUAAAAAUUUGAAUUGUCUCUACUCCCUUCUCAUUUUUUCUUUCCUAAUUUUCCAAGGAUGGCUUUUGUUUGGAGAUCUAGAGAGUCAACUUUGACUUGUGAUUUCAAAUGUCGUUUGGACUACAGUCAUUAAGCAACCGAUGAGAAAUAAAAAUUUAAGUGGAUAUUUCUGAGUGAGUAGAAAAAUAUCACAAGCAAUUUUUUGUUUGUAGAAAAGAGAGGUGAGAUUCUGUACUAGUCCGAAGAGAAAAGUCAAUGGUUAUGGUGUGAGAGGACACAGGAUAAAUGAUGUAUAGAACCAGGAAGAAAGUCUAUAAAAUUCAAUCAACUUCUAUAGGCUUGUUUGGUACAAAAAACCAGGGACACUUGGAGUAGCUCUGCGUUUCAGCAAGCAUAAUGGAUUUUGGCCGUCAGCCUACUCCAGUGCAUUUCUUUUCCCUAGGGAGUUAUUUUUAUAGCCCAAGAAACUGGUCUAAAAAGAGUUGGGGUUACUUAAGAAGUGGUGAUUUACUAUUUAGUUCUGGAAGGGCUCUAAUGGCUUGGAAGUCUAAUCUGUACCUGGCUUUACCUGAAUGGAUUCAUUUUUCUUGUGUGAUAAACUUCUUCAUUGGACAACAAUGAAACGACUGGGCUAAUUAUGAUGUCAGCUGACACUGGUGGUGUGAAGGCGUCUUGAAGUUGGAUUCAGCCCAGCUCAAGCAAAAUGGAGACCAUAUUGAAAACGGAAAGUAGAAAUGCAUCAGAAUCUCCUCUCCAGAGGAGUUCGGGCUCUCGUCCCUGCUCCUUUCUCAUAUCUACCUCAUCUUUCCUGUCUGUGUGAACGAAUGAUUAUUAGCCAUUUUUGUGCUAUGGGUGCCCUUGGCCCUUUGAAGAAACCCGUGGAAUUCUUCUCAGAAAAUACUUUCAGUGUAUAAAAUACAUGAUAUAGGAUUAAAAAAGAAACCAGGCAUAUUAAAACACAAUCAUAAAAUAUUAAUUUUAAAUUUGAUUUUUUGAUGUAAAUUUUUGCAAUAUAUUAACAUACAUACUUCUUUACAAUGUAGUCAAUAAGAAGAUCUGGCAUUGUAUCACUAACUACCAUAAUUCCAAAAUGUGUAUAAAUUCUUUGAGGGUUCUGACGUGAAAAUAUCAGUAAUUUCUGUUGGAAAUAAAAUCAUAGGUAUUGCCAGUACUACUCUAGUUUUGCCUAAAUUAGUAAUAUGGUUAGAGGCUGGUGAAACCAAUGUACUCUUUUUCCCUUCCGAGUUCAUGAAGCUCCCUGAAUUCUAUUCCUGGGUUCAGGGUAAGAAGUGCUGCUAUUUACUAUCUUCUUUUUGAUCUCUGUACAAAUUGGGAAAUGAUGAACUAGCUUAAGAGUGGCGUGGUCCCAGAUCCAGGGCUCCUGACAACUGUCACAUGUCUAGUUGUGCCAAUGCUAAAUCCCCAAGAGAGUUAAUCUGAUUGGCCAGAGACCAAGUAUCCAUUCUUAUUCUCAAAAACAGGAGAAGAGUGGAUCCUGUAAAAGAUCCUUGCAAAAGAUCCUGUAAAGCAAGCUCAUCCUUGACCCAUUCUUUUGGGGAACAAGGAGAAAGAGAAUUUUCAAAGACAGGAUAUGCGUAAGGCAGACACCCCAAAAAGACCUUUUACAAAUUCAGGUUUAAGACCUUUAAAAGUAAUUUGAAAAUUCCUUAGCACUGCCUUACAGGUAUAAUGAGGGAGUUCUCAGGGUGAACAGUGAUCACUGUUCAUUGGGAAGAAAAGUUGUCUAUGUACACAUAAAAGUCUAGGUACUUGAAAAGUCUUCUCUGGCAUUGUCCAAUAGAACUUUCUGUGGUGAUGGAAAUGUUCUCCAUCUGUACUAUCCAAUAUGGUAGUCAUGUCUAGCUAUUAAGCAACUGAAAUGUGGCUUAUGUGACUGAGGGAGUAAAUUUUAAAUUUUCUUUUAUCUUAAUUAAUUACAAUUUAAAUCUACAUAGCCAUGCGUGGUUAGUGGCUACGGUAGCAGACAGCCCAGGUCUAACUGGUUAAAUAGUGCAUCUCCCUCACUUUCCUGUAACCAUGACACUCCAGCCAAACCAGCAAAGAACUCCUAUUAUUCAGCUUCUGACCUUUGUUGCGUCUGUUUCCCAGCCAGGCACACAUUCAUGGUAUCUGUCCAUUGCUCUGCGUCGUAGCAUACUUCAUAUGCCCAACUGGAAUCCCACCUCCUCUGGACGACUUCUAUUAUCAGCCUAGCCCUCUGAAAUCUUAAGGCAUCUAUUACUAUAUCACUAAGUGGGACAGAUCACAUAACACUUGGUACAUAUUGAUCUUUUAAAAAUUGUUUACAGUUUACUUUCAAGUAGAGUACAGGCUCCUCUUGGGGAAGAAACAAUUUCUCACAUUUCUUUGAAUAUAGGUGUUCAAUGCAAUUUUGUUGCAAAUGAGGUCACUAGAUGCUUUGGAGAAGCAGAUGACUCAAAUGAAGACGUAAGUCCACUAGAGCAAGGAUACCUGGGGGUAGAGAAUCACUUUGUGGAAACAGAUCAUUGAAAUAGUUUAGAGCGAAGAGAAGCCAAGAAUUCACUUGGGGCUAUCUUUAGGCAAAUGAAGUAUUCUCCUUUUAUGGAUAAUAUCCAGGUCUAAGGAUAUUGAAUAAUUUACACGAGAUCAUAUGCCGAUAAAGGAUGGAGGGGACACUGGAACCUAGGUCCCCGGCAUUCAACAAUGUCUUCAGAGCAGGAUGCUAGAAAAACCAGAGAACUCUUAAGAAGCAAGAGAGAGGGGCCAAUAGAAAGAAGAGGAUAGUGGAGGGGAAAUUCACCAAAAGAAAUAUAACAGAAGGUUUAUCAUGGAUAUCCUUGGUCUGUAUUAGUUUGCAGAAAACCUAAGAGGUAAUUCCCACAAAAUUAAAGGAAAUUCAAAUAUUAGAUAGAUGAAGAAGUCCUUCUAAUUUUAAAUACCAGUAACUCCUGAGUUAGCUGACUAGAUUGAAUACAAGAAUCCAGGCAUAGUAAAUAGAUAUGCUUAUGAUAUCCCCCCCAUGCUCAAUGGUCUCCAGGUCACAAUCUUUCACCUGAUACAGACUUGGGGUGCAUACCGCACUGCACAUUUGCAUGCCAGACUGCAAUGCACCAAGCAUGGAUGGGAAGCCUUGCCAGAGGAGAAAUUAUUGACAGCGUUUUUUAUAAGAUUUUGCCAUGAAAAUUGGAAACAAUGUUAGGAAAAAAGAUGAUCAGAAACGUUAGGUAUGUAGUGCAUAAAGGAGAGAUCACCCGUUUUUCUGUCUUCCAAGCGAUAACAGCAUCAUAGAGAGAGGACAAAAUUCAACACUGCAUAAGCAUUAACAUGAUAGACCCCAUACCCCAAAGCUAUCCUCUCGGAUCUCACCCACUUCUCAUCGUAGAACAGGGAUAGCAAGGAGACAGAAGAAGAAGGAAAGUCUAAGGUAGAUGAGUAGAUAGGUAGACGUAUGCGUAGAGGAAGGAUACUCAAAAGUCAAAGAAUUGUGCUAUGGAUGCCCUUAAUUCGCUAAGAAUGUGAUUUGCUAAGAAUAUCCACAGGCUAAACAAAGCACUGAUUAAAAUAUUUAGACUAAACUAUGGUUACUCUACAAAGUCAUUCUCAACCUUUAAAUUGGGAAAACUACGCUCACUAAUCUUUUCUUUUUUGAGGAAGAUUGACCCUCAACUAACAUCC
This is a long non-coding RNA of Equus caballus (horse), 6162 nucleotides long. RefSeq lists it as uncharacterized. The record is from RefSeq and is a predicted model, not a curated record. Lineage: Eukaryota; Metazoa; Chordata; Mammalia; Perissodactyla; Equidae.